GUUGAACGCUGGCGGCAUGCCUAACACAUGCAAGUCGAGCGAGCGGCGGACGGGUGAGUAAUGUAUGGGGACUGCCUGAUGGCGGGGGAUAACUACUGGAAACGGUAGCUAAUACCGCAUACCAUCCGCUAACCCAUAUGGGAUUAGCUAUUAGGUAAGGUAACGGCUUACCUAGGCGACGAUCCCUCGCUGGUCUGAGAGGAUGAUCGGCCACACUGGGACUGAGACACGGCCCAGACUCCUACGGAGGCAGCAGUGGGGAAUAUUGCACAAUGGGCGAAAGCCGGAUGCAGCAAGGCCGCGUGUAUGAAGAAGGCCUUCGGGUUGUAAAGUACUUUCAGUAGGGAGGCGGUACCGACAGAGGAAGCAACGGCUAACUCCGUGCCAGCAGCCGCGGUAAUAC
This 403-nucleotide ribosomal RNA is filed under the name uncultured bacterium. Its description in RNAcentral is "partial 16S ribosomal RNA". It matches the Rfam family "Bacterial small subunit ribosomal RNA", at positions 28 to 526 of the family's 1533-position model. The record is from RNAcentral.